This 328-nucleotide ribosomal RNA is filed under the name uncultured bacterium. RNAcentral's name for it is "bacterial SSU rRNA". It matches the Rfam family "Bacterial small subunit ribosomal RNA", at positions 1179 to 1507 of the family's 1533-position model. The record is from RNAcentral.
AUGACGUCAAUCAUCAUGCCCCUUAUGACCUGGGCUACACACGUGCUACAAUGGUCGGUACAACGAGUUGCGAGCCGGUGACGGCAAGCUAAUCUCUGAAAGCCGAUCUCAGUUCGGAUUGGAGGCUGCAACUCGCCUCCAUGAAGUCGGAAUCGCUAGUAAUCGCGGAUCAGCACGCCGCGGUGAAUACGUUCCCGGGCCUUGUACACACCGCCCGUCACACCACGAGAGUUUGUAACACCCGAAGUCGGUGAGGUAACCUUUUAGGGGCCAGCCGCCUAAGGGGGGAUGGAUGAUUGGGGUGAAGUCGUACAGGCUAACCGAUAUA